UACGUAGGGCUCGAGCGUUGUCCGGAAUUAUUGGCGUAAAGAGCUCGUAGGCGGUUUGCCGCGUCUGCCGUGAAAGUCCGGGGCUCAACUCCGGAUCUGCGGUGGGUACGGGCAGACUAGAGUGAUGUAGGGGAGACUGGAAUUCCUGGUGUAGCGGUGAAAUGCGCAGAUAUCAGGAGGAACACCGAUGGCGAAGGCAGGUCUCUGGGCAUUAACUGACGCUGAGGAGCGAAAGCAUGGGGAGCGAACAGG
Molecule: ribosomal RNA, 252 nt
Filed under: uncultured bacterium
Lineage: Bacteria
Description: partial 16S ribosomal RNA
Rfam family: Bacterial small subunit ribosomal RNA
Source: RNAcentral